RNAcentral lists this ribosomal RNA (165 nucleotides) under Raddia megaphylla. Its description in RNAcentral is "5.8S ribosomal RNA". The stretch from base 24 to 165 matches the Rfam family "5.8S ribosomal RNA". From Rfam's summary of the family: 5.8S ribosomal RNA (5.8S rRNA) is a component of the large subunit of the eukaryotic ribosome. It is transcribed by RNA polymerase I as part of the 45S precursor that also contains 18S and 28S rRNA. Lineage: Eukaryota; Viridiplantae; Streptophyta; Magnoliopsida; Poales; Poaceae. The record is from RNAcentral.
CGUUGAUACGUCGUAACCAACACGACUCUCGGCAACGGAUAUCUCGGCUCUCGCAUCGAUGAAGAACGUAGCGAAAUGCGAUACCUGGUGUGAAUUGCAGAAUCCCGCGAACCAUCGAGUCUUUGAACGCAAGUUGCGCCCGAGGCCAUCCGGCCGAGGGCACGC